This 513-nucleotide ribosomal RNA is filed under the name uncultured bacterium. RNAcentral's name for it is "partial 16S ribosomal RNA". It matches the Rfam family "Bacterial small subunit ribosomal RNA", at positions 28 to 523 of the family's 1533-position model. The record is from RNAcentral.
GAUGAACGCUGGCGGCGUGCCUAAUACAUGCAAGUCGAGCGAACAGAUAAGGAGCUUGCUCCUUUGACGUUAGCGGCGGACGGGUGAGUAACACGUGGGUAACCUACCUAUAAGACUGGAAUAACUUCGGGAAACCGAAGCUAAUGCCGGAUAACAUGUAGAACCGCAUGGUUCUACAGUGAAAGAUGGUUUUGCUAUCACUUAUAGAUGGACCCGCGCCGUAUUAGCUAGUUGGUAAGGUAACGGCUUACCAAGGCAACGAUACGUAGCCGACCUGAGAGGGUGAUCGGCCACACUGGAACUGAGACACGGUCCAGACUCCUACGGGAGGCAGCAGUAGGGAAUCUUCCGCAAUGGGCGAAAGCCUGACGGAGCAACGCCGCGUGAGUGAUGAAGGUCUUCGGAUCGUAAAGCUCUGUUAUUAGGGAAGAACAAGUGCGUAAGUAACUGUGCGCACCUUGACGGCACCUAAUCAGAAAGCCACGGCUAACUACGUGCCAGCAGCCGCCGCGG